This 393-nucleotide ribosomal RNA is filed under the name uncultured fungus. RNAcentral describes it as "eukaryotic LSU rRNA". The stretch from base 1 to 113 matches the Rfam family "5.8S ribosomal RNA", at positions 42 to 154 of the family's 154-position model. The record is from RNAcentral. Lineage: Eukaryota; Fungi.
AACGCAGCGAAGGGCGAUACGUAAUGUGAAUUGCAGAAUUCAGUGAAUCAUCGAAUCUUUGAACGCAUAUUGCGCUCUUUGGUAUUCCGAAGAGUAUGCUUGUUUGAGUAUCCGUAAAACAUCUCAAAUCUCUACUUUAUUGUAAAGAAUUGGACUUGAGCAAUCCCAACUCCUUCGUCAGAAAGAGAAGGGUUGCUCGAAAUGCAGGUGCAGCUGGACUUUUAUCUGAGCUAAAAGCAUAUCUAUUUAGUCCUCGUCAAACAGGAUUAUUACUAUUGCUGCAGCUAACAUAAAGGAUAAUUGUCCUCACUGCUGACUGAUGCAGGAUUUUGCGACACUUUAUGUGUUGUUCAACUCGAUCUCAAAUCAAGUAAGACUACCCGCUGAACUUAA